Molecule: microRNA precursor, 96 nt
Filed under: Nicotiana sylvestris (wood tobacco)
Lineage: Eukaryota; Viridiplantae; Streptophyta; Magnoliopsida; Solanales; Solanaceae
Also listed under: 1 other name
Description: MIR6152 microRNA precursor family
Rfam family: MIR6152 microRNA precursor family
Source: Rfam by way of RNAcentral
UGGACAGAUUAUUGUAUUCGACUGUAUUUACGGCGUGAAACAGGGGAUUACACUAUUUUUAAACGGAAAGUGAAUCAAUUAACAUAAUAGACUCCU